GGAGGAUAGCCCGGGGAAACUCGGAUUAAUACUCCAUAAGAUUUUGAUUGGCAUCGAUUAGAAUUGAAAGAUUUAUUGGAUAAGGAUAGGCAUGCGUCAGAUUAGUUAGUUGGUAGUGUAACGGACUACCAAGGCGAUGAUCUGUAGGGGGCCUGAGAGGGUGAACCCCCACACUGGUACUGAGACACGGACCAGACUCCUACGGGAGGCAGCAGUGAGGAAUAUUGGACAAUGGAGGGAACUCUGAUCCAGCCAUCCCGCGUGCAGGAAGACGGCCCUAUGGGUUGUAAACUGCUUUUGUAUGGGGAUAAAUCUACUUACGUGUAGGUAGUUGAAGGUACCAUACGAAUAAGCAUCGGCUAACUCCGUGCCAGCAGCCGCGGUAAUACGGAGGAUGCAAGCGUUAUCCGGAUUCAUUGGGUUUAAAGGGUCCGUAGGCGGGCUGAUAAGUCAGUGGUGAAAUUUUGUCGCUCAACGAUAAAACUGCCAUUGAUACUGUUAGUCUUGAGUGAUAUUGAAGUAGCUGGAAUGUGUAGUGUAGCGGUGAAAUGCAUAGAUAUUACACAGAACACCGAUUGCGAAGGCAGGUUACUAAGUAUUAACUGACGCUGAAGGACGAAAGCGUGGGGAGC
RNAcentral lists this ribosomal RNA (632 nucleotides) under Ornithobacterium rhinotracheale. RNAcentral describes it as "bacterial SSU rRNA". It matches the Rfam family "Bacterial small subunit ribosomal RNA", at positions 138 to 769 of the family's 1533-position model. Lineage: Bacteria; Pseudomonadati; Bacteroidota; Flavobacteriia; Flavobacteriales; Weeksellaceae. The record is from RNAcentral.